CCUACGGGAUGCAGCAGUGGGGAAUAUUGGGCAAUGGGCGCAAGCCUGAUGCAGCAACGCCGCGUGAAGGAAGAAGGCUUUCGGGUUGUAAACUUCUUUUAAGAGGGAAGAGUAGAAGACGGUACCUCUUGAAUAAGCCACGGCUAACUACGUGCCAGCAGCCCGGGUAAUCCGUAGGGGGCAAGCGUUUUCCGGAUUUACUGGGGGUAAAGGGCGUGUAGCCGGGCCGGCAAGUCAGAUGUGAAAGCCCAAGGCGCAACCUUGGAACUGCAUUUGAAACUGUUGGUCGUGAGUAUCGGAGAGGCCGGCGGAAGUCCCAGUGUAGCGGUGAAAUGCGUAGAUAUUAGGAGGAACACCAGUGGCGAAGGCGGCCUGCUGGACAAAAACUGACGGUGAGGCGCGAAAGCGUGGGGAGCAAACAGGAUUAGAUACCCCGGUAGUC
Molecule: ribosomal RNA, 442 nt
Filed under: uncultured bacterium
Lineage: Bacteria
Description: partial 16S ribosomal RNA
Rfam family: Bacterial small subunit ribosomal RNA
Source: RNAcentral